AUGAAGAUGCUUAUUCAUGCUGUAACCAGUAAGCUAGAAGGCCUCAAUUCCAAUUUAGCAAGGCAGCUGGGUGACAGCCUGGUCAGGAGGCUCAGGGAGAACUCGGUACAUUUAGAAUCAUUAAGUGAUUCCACACAUGAUUCCAUACUCACGUUAUUGGAUGCCAGAUUAAAAAAAACUGGGAUUCUUAAUUUGAUAUCCAAAUAUAAAUCCGAAUGCACUACUGUAAUCAGAAGUUCUGGUCUCCAUUCUGCUUCCACCAAUACACCCCCAUCUCAGAUGCCAGCCUCUUUAGAAGCAGGUCAAACUACUAACAACAGUGACCUUUGGCAACUGCUGGAUAGCACAGUUGAUCACAGUAUAGAAGUAGCUCAAGUACAACAGCAGAUGCUACUGCUGAAGUGAACUGGUAUUUAUUGGAAGUGAAUCUCACUAGAUCUAGUAUAUUAGGCUCAACAGAAGCCUCAGCUUAUACCAGCUGGCAUUGGCUUUUUUAUGUUGCCCUGCUUUCUCUGUUCCAUGUGAAAAGACCUUUUCUAAUACUGGAGAGGUUUUGUCCAAGAAGAGGAAUCGUCUAAACCCCAGCGCACUUAAAAAAAAAAUUUGUUCCUCUAUAAAAAUCAAUAAUAUUUUUCUUCACCCACCCCAAACUGCUGUGUUGCAGUUUGCUCCACAACAGGUGCAUCUCAAAAAAAUACAACAUCAUGGAAAAGUUCUUUAUUUUUUGUAAUUUCAUUAAAAAAAAGCAAACUUUCUUAUAUUCUAGAUUCAUUGCACACAAACUGAAAUAUUUCAAGAGUUUUUAUUGUUUUGUUUUGUUUUAAUUCUGAUGGUUACGAAAAUUAAAAAUUCAGUAUCUCAAAAAAUUAUAAUAUUCCAUUUUGAGCUUAAUUAGUUUGAUUAAUUUUGAGUAUAAAUACUGGGUACCUCCUGGGCUAGUUUAGAACAUGCAACCACAAUUAUGGGAAAGACUACUGACUUGACAGUUGUCCAGAAGACAAUCAUCAGCCCCCUUCACAAGUAGGGUAAGCCACAGAAGGUCAUUGCUGAAAGUGCUGGCUGAUCACAGAGUGCUGUACCAAAAUAUAUUCAUAGAAAGUUGACUGAAAGGAAAAAGUGUGGUAGGAAAAGGUGCACAAGCAACAGGGAUGACCACAGCCUUGUGAAGAUUGUCAGGAAAAGCCGAUUCAAGAACUUGGGAGAGCUUCACAAGGAGUGGACUGAAGCCGGAGUCUGUGCAUCAAGAGUCACCACACUCAGACGUCUUCAGGAAAAGGGCUACAGCUGUCACAUUCCUAGAACCAAGCCACUCCUGAACCAGGAAAAACGUAAAAAGCAUCUCACCUGGGGUAAGGAGAAAAAUAACUGGGGUCUCAUUUAUGAACAUUGCGUACGCACAAAAUGGGCAUAGAAACAUGCAUACGCAAUUUUCCACACACAUAUCGUGAUUUAUAAAAAAUAAACUUGCCGUAAAUAUGAACGCA
Cyprinus carpio (common carp) is the source of this 1484-nucleotide long non-coding RNA. The record is from Ensembl. Lineage: Eukaryota; Metazoa; Chordata; Actinopteri; Cypriniformes; Cyprinidae.